CACUGGUUGAGAGCUGGUACCGCUCUCCUGAUGAGUCCAUCCAAGCAGGACAAAACCAGUG
Molecule: non-coding RNA, 61 nt
Filed under: Helianthus annuus (common sunflower)
Lineage: Eukaryota; Viridiplantae; Streptophyta; Magnoliopsida; Asterales; Asteraceae
Source: RNAcentral